GGUAGAUAUCCUUUACAUAUGUGUACUUAGUUUGCUAGUUUUUAGGUUUUUGAAACAGAGUCUUGAUAUACAAGACCUGGUUGAUUUUGAACUGCAUGGGCUUUUCAUUUCAGUUUCACAGGGCACAUAUGAAAAUGCUGCUGGGUAGCACAUGGAAGAAGAUGCAUUUGAACAGACAUUUUAAAAGGAAGUCAAAGGAAUGUGGUUCUCUUGGAAGAAAAAAGAAUGUCAGCUGGUUGAAUAUAAUAAAAUUUUGCUGAAGCAGCCCACGAACUAGGUGAAAAUGAAAAGUAUCUUUCCUACACUCUGGAGUGUUAUACUUUACCCAAAGCUCGGAGGCAUCAGAAGCAUGUUUCUCAAAGCUACGGAUCUGUACACUGGAGACAAAUUAAAUGUCAUAUCAUUGGGUGAAAAUGCCAUAGAGGUAACCUGUCUCUGUAAAUACAGCACAGAGACCCAGACACCUCACACAUACUUUGACGGCACAGAAGAGUAGGAUCCUGCUGCUCUUUCAUAAUUUAUUGAUAGGCAAAAUGCCAAAAUCCUAGAAAGCCACACUUGGAAAAAUGUUUUUUAAGUGAAUUGGAUAUUUCAAAAUGUUUUGAGAGAAUAGCAGGUACUAAAUUUCUUCUAGAAUCUGCACCAUGAAAUCACCAAAACGGACAUCUGCUUCUUCGAGAAAACUGAGACAGUUACAUCUUUGAUCUCUCAGCUCUUAUUUUUCUUUUCUCUCAGUUGCCAUCUCCCUGCCAGUCCUGCCCCUCUCUGUUUAUAUUGAUCUUAUAAACCACUACUUUUGAGAACUCUGGUAUUGCUACAAUUAAGAAUGAUUCUGUAAAAGUCCCUGAAAAUGAAAGUGCUCAAAAACAAAUGAUCCCUUUAACAAGAGCACUGAUGGGCUAGAGUUUCUUGUACAGUAGGUCUCAGUGACACUGUAUAGAGUUCCUUUAUGGCUAUUUAUGUUUGUAGCAGGAUGCUACACGGCAUGCAACUUAGUUAAAACAUGUCUAAUAGCACUGCACUUAAAAUCUUCUUAGAAUUAUUUUUAUACUCAUGAAAGUUUAUCAGACCAUGCAAAGAUAGAAUUGCAAUGAUGUAAUGAUGAGGGAAAUAUGGAAGGUUAUCACCAGAGAUAGAAAUGGGAAGAUAAAAAGGGAAGGGCAUAGGAAAUAACAACAUUAAGGAUCAAACCACAUGAAACUGCUGUCUUAGAGUUCAAAAGGUCAAAUUUCAUAUGGUUCAAUCUAUUUCCCCAGAACUUUCCAGGUCCAGUAACAUCCCAAUCAUUUACCAAGAAAUACAGCUGAGUUCCCAGAGCAAAUAAUUUCCAUUUCCAUCACUGGUUAUAAAAUAACACUUAUUGCCAUUUUCUGGAUGGUUUGGUUACUAUAGCAAUGACUUCCCAAACAACAACACAUUGCAGAAGUGUGUUCAAGUGCUGAGGUAAUUUACCAACCUCUUUCUCUCCUCUCCUCUCACUGCAUAUUUAAAUGCACACAUGCUUCUCCAUGGAGCAUUUUUCUUUCCAAGUCCAUUGGAUAUCUUCCAUCUUUCUCUCUCUCUCUUUCUCUCUCUGUCUCUGUCUCUGUCUCUGUCUCUCUCUCUCUCUCUCUCUCUCUCUCUCACACACACACACACACACACACACACACACACAUAUCUGCAAAGCUUAUCCUUUUCUUUAGAACUACACCCCCUGAGCACAGUGUAUGUUUUGGUUGGUAUUUCUAAAUAUGUCAUUAUGUCACUGCUAUCUGUUUCAAAGUAAUAAAGGACCCCCAAGAAGAAGCAGGAAAAUGAAGAAAUGUUCACCCAUCUCUCAGAAAGAACAGGGUUAGUCCUGCAAUGCAGGGCAUGAAGAUGGCCAUGUGGAGGAAAGGCAGAAUCUGGCAGGACCAGGAAAGACAAGUGCUCCCCACUGUGCUUUGCUGUCUGGGUCCUUCGCACAAUAGAUGGGAAAUCCCCUCCCCCCGUUAUAACACACACAAAAAAUAAGAGGCAGGAGACUGGAAACUUCCCCUUGCAGUGCCUAACCCAGCUGGUUCAUGUCCUAUGAAUCUGUUCCACCAGCUUCCUUUUUUAGUUUCCACUGCAAAGACGAGGAGUAGGCUGUCUGCCAAGGAAGGGAGAACAAUUUUGAAAAUGCUCAGCGGAUGUCAGAUUCAACUAUUGUGAUCUCUCUUCCAUCCUUUGGAUGUAGGAACAGUCUGGAUGCUUAUCUCACCCAAGAUACAGUGACUGCUUUUGUCUCGUUUGAGCUAAUUUCAAAGUAGUGAAGUGAAAAAUGCUUCUCACUGGCUUUCAGGUUUAUGUCUCCCUCCAGUUAAGGCACAGAAAUCUUAGUAUUGCUAUAAUCUCACUGUAGGACAUUCCUGGGAGAAAGCAAAACUCACAGCUACCUGACUCAGUCUUUCUCCAUUUACAGUACCAUUUCCCUAUCUUGAUUCAUUCAUUCUUUUUCAUCUAUUUUCCACAAGUAGGUGGGGAUUAAUGACAAGAAUGAAAGCAUAUUUUCAAUUAUCUAUUUUUAAACCAAGAUGCUACUUCUGAAAAUGUUCCUCUCCAAAUCACCCUUGGAAUGUGAAAUAAUCUUACAUGCAGGUCCAUUUUGUUACGGUCUGUAUGAACUGUCAGUGGUCCAUGACCUCUGCUUCAUUCAAAGAAUCUCUCUAGUUCAAGGUUGUGCUGACCUUAUUUUCUAUAGUUAAUUACUUAUAUUUACAAGGUUGUCUAAUAGCGUCCAGCUCAUUUACAUAACUGAGGCAGGCCAAUCCGUGACAGGACCUCAACCUUCUUCCACCCGCCAAGUGCCCCUUCUCGGCUGUCUAAUCCAAUUUGACGCUUUUGUGGAAGCACGUCUGUUAUUCGGUACAUUUGCAGCUAUUUGUAUGGACCCAGGAGAAUGGAUGCAGUGUUUAUGAAAAUAUAAUGAUGAAAAACAUAGAAGUCUUUUAGAAGGAUGAAAACCAGAAAGAACAGCUGAAUUAAAAUUAACUGUAGGAAUUAACAGCUAAAAGUAUUUGCCUCUCAAAUAAUAUUGUAUGUGGAAUUUUUUAAAAUUCUGGAUCUUGUGCAAGUGUGUUGAAGUUAAACUCUCCUCACCCUCAGUAUUGUUCUAGCCAAUCACAGUUUCUAUCCUUCUAGUCGCACUAAAAACUUUAAGAUGUUUCAAAGGAUUUUAUAUAAGAAAAUCUACUCUUUUUCCAUUAGACCCAAUAAACUUACAU
Cavia porcellus (domestic guinea pig) is the source of this 3227-nucleotide long non-coding RNA. RefSeq lists it as uncharacterized. The record is from RefSeq and is a predicted model, not a curated record. The transcript is spliced from 3 exons. Lineage: Eukaryota; Metazoa; Chordata; Mammalia; Rodentia; Caviidae.